AUGAACGCUGGCGGCGUGGAUAAGGCAUGCAAGUCGGACGAUUUCCUUUUUUGAAGAAGAUGCGAUUACAUCAAGUCAACUGAUAUUUUGGAGAUAGUGGCGAACGAGCUAGUAACACCUUGGUACGUACCCAAAAGUUUGGUAUAGCUCGCCGAAAGGCGGGGUAAUCCCAAAUAAUCCCUCUAUCUAUCGGAUAGAAGGGUAAAGUCGCAAGACGCUUUUUGGAGCGGCCUAGGACCGAUCAGUUAGUUGGUGAGGUAAUGGCUCACCAAGACGAUGACCGGUAGGGG
This 290-nucleotide ribosomal RNA is filed under the name uncultured bacterium. Its description in RNAcentral is "partial 16S ribosomal RNA". It matches the Rfam family "Bacterial small subunit ribosomal RNA", at positions 29 to 289 of the family's 1533-position model. The record is from RNAcentral.